UACGGAGGGUGCAAGCGUUGUCCGGAAUCACUGGGCGUAAAGGGCGCGUAGGCGGCUCAUGAAGGCUGUGGUGAAAGUCCGGGGCUCAACCUCGGAUCGGCCGUGGCGACUCGUGGGCUGGAGCACUGUAGAGGCGGGUGGAAUUCCGGGUGUAGCGGUGGAAUGCGUAGAGAUCCGGAAGAACACCAGUGGCGAAGGCGGCCCGCUGGGCAGUGGCUGACGCUGAGGCGCGACAGCGUGGGGAGCAAACCGG
RNAcentral lists this ribosomal RNA (253 nucleotides) under uncultured bacterium. Its description in RNAcentral is "partial 16S ribosomal RNA". It matches the Rfam family "Bacterial small subunit ribosomal RNA", at positions 524 to 776 of the family's 1533-position model. The record is from RNAcentral.